AGGAUGAACGCUAGCUACAGGCUUAACACAUGCAAGUCGAGGGGAAACGACAUCGAAAGCUUGCUUUUGAUGGGCGUCGACCGGCGCACGGGUGAGUAACGCGUAUCCAACCUGCCCACCACUUGGGGAUAACCUUGCGAAAGUAAGACUAAUACCCAAUGAUAUCUCUAGAAGACAUCUGAAAGAGAAAAGAUUUAUCGGUGAUGGAUGGGGAUGCGUCUGAUUAGCUUGUUGGCGGGGUAACGGCCCACCAAGGCAACGAUCAGUAGGGGUUCUGAGAGGAAGGUCCCCCACAUUGGAACUGAGACACGGUCCAAACUCCUACGGGAGGCAGCAGUGAGGAAUAUUGGUCAAUGGGCGAGAGCCUGAACCAGCCAAGUAGCGUGCAGGAUGACGGCCCUAUGGGUUGUAAACUGCUUUUAUAAGGGAAUAAAGUGAGUCUCGUGAGACUUUUUGCAUGUACCUUAUGAAUAAGGACCGGCUAAUUCCGUGCCAGCAGCCGCGGUAAUACGGAAGGUCCGGGCGUUAUCCGGAUUUAUUGGGUUUAAAGGGAGCGUAGGCCGGAGAUUAAGCGUGUUGUGAAAUGUAGACGCUCAACGUCUGCACUGCAGCGCGAACUGGUUUCCUUGAGUACGCACAAAGUGGGCGGAAUUCGUGGUGUAGCGGUGAAAUGCUUAGAUAUCACGAAGAACUCCGAUUGCGAAGGCAGCUCACUGGAGCGCAACUGACGCUGAAGCUCGAAAGUGCGGGUAUCGAACAGGAUUAGAUACCCUGGUAGUCCGCACGGUAAACGAUGGAUGCCCGCUGUUGGUCUGAAUAGGUCAGCGGCCAAGCGAAAGCAUUAAGCAUCCCACCUGGGGAGUACGCCGGCAACGGUGAAACUCAAAGGAAUUGACGGAAGG
Molecule: ribosomal RNA, 902 nt
Filed under: uncultured bacterium
Lineage: Bacteria
Description: bacterial SSU rRNA
Rfam family: Bacterial small subunit ribosomal RNA
Source: RNAcentral